CCUACGGGUGGCAGCAGUGGGGAAUAUUGGACAAUGGGCGAAAGCCUGAUCCAGCCAUGCCGCGUGUGUGAAGAAGGCCUUCGGGUUGUAAAGCACUUUCAGUGGGGAAGAAAGCCUUGGGGCUAAUACCCUCGAGGAAGGACAUCACCCACAGAAGAAGCACCGGCUAACUCCGUGCCAGCAGCCGCGGUAAUACGGAGGGUGCGAGCGUUAAUCGGAAUUACUGGGCGUAAAGCGCGCGUAGGCGGUGCUGAUAAGCCGGUUGUGAAAGCCCCGGGCUCAACCUGGGAACGGCAUCCGGAACUGUCAGGCUAGAGUGCAGGAGAGGAAGGUAGAAUUCCCGGUGUAGCGGUGAAAUGCGUAGAGAUCGGGAGGAAUACCAGUGGCGAAGGCGGCCUUCUGGACUGACACUGACGCUGAGGUGCGAAAGCGUGGGUAGCAAACAGGAUUAGAAACCCGAGUAGUC
RNAcentral lists this ribosomal RNA (466 nucleotides) under Vreelandella stevensii. RNAcentral describes it as "partial 16S ribosomal RNA". It matches the Rfam family "Bacterial small subunit ribosomal RNA", at positions 338 to 795 of the family's 1533-position model. The record is from RNAcentral. Lineage: Bacteria; Pseudomonadati; Pseudomonadota; Gammaproteobacteria; Oceanospirillales; Halomonadaceae.